Molecule: long non-coding RNA, 1057 nt
Organism: Anopheles gambiae (African malaria mosquito)
Lineage: Eukaryota; Metazoa; Arthropoda; Insecta; Diptera; Culicidae
Exons: 3
Source: RefSeq, a predicted model, not a curated record
UCAUCAUUUACAGGCAGCGUCAAUUGGCCCUCAAUAUAGUUAUUUUUGAAGCAAUGCGGCCCGCGAGGUGAAAAGUUUGGAGGCCCCUGCGUUAGAGGAAACACCAUCGAUUUGUACGUAGUAGCUGCGUUCAGAGAUGUAGGACCUGAACCAAUUCACUAGCGGAGUAGAAUGGUUCACACGAUCAAACGUAGCCUUAAGGUCAGUGUAUAUUGCAUCCAUCUGCCAGCGCCUACCCAACCAGCAAAACCGAAGCUAUUGGAAAACUUUCCUGUGUGCCAAAGCGAGAAAGCAUGUCUUCUUUCUCUAGAUUUUGGACGGCACAACGCCGAUCGUGUGGCCUAUGAACGAAAAACGGGAGAAGGGGAAACCGAUAUCCUUCGAGUGACACACACGCAUGCAUCUGCAUGCGUAUUCCGCUGAACCGAGACUACACAUCUCUCUCGAUCUCCCAUGAUUUUUCUGCUAUCGCGCUCAUCCGGGUGUUAGGCAUCCUCAGUCUGUCCAGAACUUUCACUGUGGAAGGAUGUGUUGGAGUGAUGUGUGAUUUCUUAUGCCCCGUACUUUGCUCGUUUACGUUUUGUGCUGUGUUCCUUCUUCUUCAAUUAUGGAAUGAUUUAUCCUUGUAAAUUUUUAAGUUACAGGUGCACGCGCAUGUUAAUCGACGGUUGCCAACAUCCCGCAAAACGAUCGACGGAAGGAAAACGGUGUCCGGUUUUAAAAUAUCAAGAUUUCAUCACAGCUCUUUCGUAGAAGAGCGCACUUCAAGGACGCCAGGAUACGGCUAAACAUGCGCAGCACCAGUCCGUGACGUCAUUUCCAGACAGGCGCCGGCUGAACACGCGCAGCACCAGUCGAGGAUAUCCUAGCGCAGAGGGUAGAAGGAAGAACGAGAGGAAGGGUAACGGAACCGCUACAAUUGUAGGGGGUGAAGCAUCCUGCCGUGUACAGAGUGUGAGUCUGCCAAAACGCAUGUGGAAAGAGGAAGUCCAAUGCGAAAGUGGCAAGGCAUGUGAAAGUGUACAUAGAGCAAAAAUAAAAAGUGUCACUACUACAA